This 223-nucleotide ribosomal RNA is filed under the name uncultured bacterium. Its description in RNAcentral is "partial 16S ribosomal RNA". It matches the Rfam family "Bacterial small subunit ribosomal RNA", at positions 524 to 744 of the family's 1533-position model. The record is from RNAcentral.
UACGUAGGGGGCGAGCGUUGUCCGGAGUUACUGGGCGUAAAGCGCCCGCAGGCGGUCGGUCGCGUUUGAGGUUACAGCUCCUGGCUUAACUGGGAGAGCGUCUCAAAGACGGGCUGACUUGAGGACCAGAGAGGGACACGGAAUUCCGGGUGGAGUGGUGAAAAUGCGUAGAUAUCCGGAGGAACACCGAAGGCGAAGGCAGUGUCCUGGCUGGUCCCCUGAC